Molecule: non-coding RNA, 2601 nt
Organism: Carica papaya (papaya)
Lineage: Eukaryota; Viridiplantae; Streptophyta; Magnoliopsida; Brassicales; Caricaceae
Source: RefSeq, a predicted model, not a curated record
CAUUUUAGUACAUUGCCUGCUCCAAUGGCUGACCCAGCACGCAGAGCGAGAGAGAGAGAGAGAGACACACACACACACAUACACACCCAUAAAACUCACCACGUAGGCCAGUAGUCUGUCAAGACGCCAACCCUAACUUCCUGUCUGCGGUCUCUCUCUCUCUCUGUCUCUCUUUCUUCUCUGUACUGGUCUAAUAUCUCUGCUUUCGUCGGUAUGGGUCUCAAUGUCCAGACCCGGAGUCUGGUUUCGUCAUCAACCUGAGGAGAUUAUCCGUGAAGUGUUGUUUUUCUCGAGGUUUGAUUGUUGAUCUGAUAGUAUUUUCGUUAUUAAUUGGAAAUGAUGAGCGCGUGACGAUGUUUUCGGUAUUGUCACAGAAGGGAGAUCUAUGGGGUUUGUUUGAGUUUUGUUUUGUUUAAAUUGUAAUUUACGAGGGUUCGUUGGGUGUUUUUUUAACUUUCUAUUGAAUUUUUAUGGUAGUGGGUUUAGUAGGUGCUCGUGAUCUGAAAAGUGGCAGUUGAUUUAUUAUUUAUUUUGGGAAAAAUUUACUGAUUCAGUCUGGAGUUUGGAUCUUUCACCUAAUGGAUUUUGUUAAGUAGCGGUUACCCAGUUUAGAUUUUCUGUAUAUGAAGUUGAGCUUUUGGGGGGUGAUUGGAUGUGGGUUGACUGGGAAUCUGGAGGAAGUGGAAUUUACUAGAUAGGUUUAUUGAGUUGUUUGGGUGGAAUUGUGAACUGGGUUGGCAUCAAUGUCGAUCAGGAGUAUUAUUCAGGACAUGAGAGAUGAGCUUGGGAGCAUAUCUAGGAAAGGGUUUGAUGUGAAAUUUGGGUAUGGAAUGCGAUCGAGGUCUCACCGGGUGGUUCAGGAUAGUACCGUGUCAGUUGAUGCCUUGAAGCAGAGUUGUUGGGCUAACAUGCCGCCGGAGCUUCUAAGGGAUGUGCUGAUGAGGAUCGAGGAAUCUGAGGGCAGUUGGCCUCCUAGGAAGAAUGUGGUUGCUUGUGCUGGUGUUUGCAGAAAUUGGAGAGAAAUAAUGAAGGAGCUUGUUAAAGCCCCUGAAAUUUCAGGCAAAUUGACUUUCCCUAUCUCUUUGAAGCAGCCUGGUCCAAGAGGUUCACUCCUCCAGUGCUACAUUAAACGGAACCGUAGCAACCAAACGUAUUACCUCUAUCUUGGCUUAACUCAAGCUUCAAAUGAUGAUGGUAAAUUCCUUCUUGCUGCACGAAAAUGUAGACGUGCCACUUGCACAGACUACAUCAUCUCACUAAAUUGUGAUGAUGUUUCAAAAGGAAGCAGCACCUACAUAGGAAAGUUGAGAUCUAACUUUCUAGGGACCAAAUUCACAGUCUAUGAUUCUCAGACGCCAAAUUCUGAAACAAAAGUUGUCAAGAGUCGGUCUACAAGGCUUGUUAAUAUGAAACAAGUCUCCCCUAGGGCCCCUGCUGGAAAUUACCCUGCAGCCCACAUCUCAUACGAGUUGAAUGUCCUGGGUUCCAGGGGUCCAAGGAGGAUGCAGUGCAUAAUGGAUGCUAUUCCUGCAUCUGCUAUUGAACCCGGAGGUGUGGCUCCAACACAAACUGAAUUUCUGCAAAGCAGUUUAGAUACUUUUCCCUCCCUCAGUUUUUUCAGAUCAAAAUCCAACCAGGGGGAUGGUUUUCAGUCUUGUCCUUUCCCUGUACAAAAAGAUGGAAUGCUGGUUUUGAAAAACAAGUCACCCAGGUGGCAUGAACAACUCCAGUGCUGGUGUCUGAACUUCAGCGGGCGAGUAACAGUGGCUUCAGUUAAGAAUUUUCAGCUUGUUGCUUCUCCAGAGAAUGGACCUGCUGGACUGGAGCAUGAGAAUGUCAUUCUCCAAUUUGGGAAAGUGGGAAAAGAUGUAUUCACUAUGGAUUAUCAGUAUCCCAUCUCAGCUUUCCAGGCAUUUGCCAUUUGCCUUAGCAGCUUUGACACUAAAAUUGCCUGUGAAUGACCGAGGAGCAGUACCAUACCUUGAACAAGUGUUGUACAAGGCAUUCAUAAAUAGUCUGAUAUUUCUCUUCUUUCUAAUUAUAUUCGGCACAGCAAGAAGUGGCACGAGUUGGUCACAGAUCGGGUUCUUGCUACGCAGAAUUUGGCCUUGAUGCGACCAAUCCUCUAGAUAGUCCAAUUUAUUUUCUUAUGAGGUCUAAGGUUUUUCACUAUUAAAUUCCUGUUGUACAUAAUAGCUGAACCAUGAGUGAAACAUUCACCUGCGAUGUUGGUUAUGCUCUCUCACUGACGCGCUCGAUUCGUCGAGUGUGAGAAACAAGACAUCUUAACCUGAGUGAUUCCUUGAAUUUUCCAGUAGUCUUCCUGACUGAGGGCCAUAGUUAAUAAGUUCAAACGUUGCUUCUGCUUUCCCUUCUAAUUAUGCAAUUCAGGACUGCAAAGUCCUGUUAGAGAGGCUUUUUGGGAAACAGUUUUUUCCUUCCUUUAAUUUUUAAUUUAUUUGUUUAUGUUUCUUUGUUUUCCAAAAGGAAAGAGGGGGAAGAAUGCUGCCUUGCAGUUGGUAAAAAGUGUAUUGUGUUUGUGGUGGAGUGCAUGCUACUUCUGUUAAAUGAGAAAAGAAUGUUUUUGAGUUUGCUUGGCAA